This 647-nucleotide ribosomal RNA is filed under the name uncultured bacterium. Its description in RNAcentral is "bacterial SSU rRNA". It matches the Rfam family "Bacterial small subunit ribosomal RNA", at positions 338 to 990 of the family's 1533-position model. The record is from RNAcentral.
CCUACGGGAGGCAGCAGUGAGGAAUAUUGGACAAUGGAUGGAAAUCUGAUCCAGCCAUGCCGCGUGCAGGAAGACGGCCCUAUGGGUUGUAAACUGCUUUUAUAUGGGAGCAAUAAGGUUUACGAGUAGACCGAUGAGAGUACCAUAUGAAUAAGCAUCGGCUAACUCCGUGCCAGCAGCCGCGGUAAUACGGAGGAUGCGAGCGUUAUCCGGAUUUAUUGGGUUUAAAGGGUGCGUAGGCGGCUUAGUAAGUCAGCGGUGAAAUUUUGCAGCUUAACUGUAACAGUGCCGUUGAUACUGCCAGGCUAGGAUUUGGUUGCUGUGGGUGGAAUGUGUGGUGUAGCGGUGAAAUGCUUAGAUAUCACACAGAAUAUCGAUUGCGAAGGCAGCUCACAAAGCCAAGAUUGACGCUGAGGCACGAAAGUGUGGGGAUCAAACAGGAUUAGAUACCCUGGUAGUCCACACUGUAAACGAUGAUAACUCGCUGCCGGCGAUACACAGUCGGUGGCCAAGCGAAAGCGAUAAGUUAUCCACCUGGGGAGUACGACCGCAAGGUUGAAACUCAAAUGAAUUGACGGGGAAACUCAAAUGAAUUGACGGGGAAACUCAAAUGAAUUGACGGGGAAACUCAAAUGAAUUGACGGGGA